Molecule: ribosomal RNA, 253 nt
Filed under: uncultured bacterium
Lineage: Bacteria
Description: partial 16S ribosomal RNA
Rfam family: Bacterial small subunit ribosomal RNA
Source: RNAcentral
UACAGAGGUCUCAACCGUUGUUCGGAUUCAUUGGGCGUAAAGGGUGCGUAGGCGGUCGCGUAAGUCAGGUGUGAAAUCUCAGGGCUCAACCCUGAAACUGCACUUGAUACUGCGUGGCUCGGGUGCUGGAGAGGAGACUGGAAUUUACGGUGUAGCAGUGAAAUGCGUAGAUAUCGUAAGGAAGACCAGUGGCGAAGGCGAGUCUCUGGACAGUUACCGACGCUGAGGCACGAAGGUCAGGGGAGCAAACGGG